RNAcentral lists this transfer RNA (71 nucleotides) under Candidatus Pinguicoccus supinus. It matches the Rfam family "tRNA". From Rfam's summary of the family: Transfer RNA (tRNA) molecules are approximately 80 nucleotides in length. Lineage: Bacteria; Pseudomonadati; Verrucomicrobiota. The record is from Rfam by way of RNAcentral.
GUGGGUAUAGUUUAAUGGCAAAACUUUAACCUUCCAAGUUAAUAUUAUCGGUUCGAUUCCGUUUACCCGCA